RNAcentral lists this long non-coding RNA (271 nucleotides) under Mytilus galloprovincialis (Mediterranean mussel). Lineage: Eukaryota; Metazoa; Mollusca; Bivalvia; Mytilida; Mytilidae. The record is from RNAcentral.
AUUUUUGUUUGCUGUAGAUUCAUUUAUGUUCGUGGAAAUCUAUUUUUGUGGAUUGAGGAAAACUUGAUUUCUUGGUUUGGACAAUCUCUGUAUGCAACAUGUGCAAAGCUUAUAACACAUUUGUAAUUCGUUAAACACUUACAUUCAUGGUUCACCUAUACCCUAGAAAUCCACGACAACUGAGAAAAAAUGAAUCCACAGUAUUGAGUAAUACACAAUCACGAGUUUUGUCUUCUAUAAAAAGAGAUCUCAUUCGAUACCUCCAUAGAAC